RNAcentral lists this ribosomal RNA (752 nucleotides) under uncultured Bacteroidales bacterium. RNAcentral describes it as "bacterial SSU rRNA". It matches the Rfam family "Bacterial small subunit ribosomal RNA", at positions 28 to 768 of the family's 1533-position model. The record is from RNAcentral. Lineage: Bacteria; Pseudomonadati; Bacteroidota; Bacteroidia; Bacteroidales.
GAUGAACGCUUAGCUACAGGCUUAACACAUGCAAGUCGAGGGGCAGCAUGGUCUUAGCUUGCUAAGGCCGAUGGCGACCGGCGCACGGGUGAGUAACACGUAUCCAACCUGCCGUCUACUCUUGGACAGCCUUCUGAAAGGAAGAUUAAUACAAGAUGGCAUCAUGAGUCCGCAUGUUCACAUGAUUAAAGGUAUUCCGGUAGACGAUGGGGAUGCGUUCCAUUAGAUAGUAGGCGGGGUAACGGCCCACCUAGUCUUCGAUGGAUAGGGGUUCUGAGAGGAAGGUCCCCCACAUUGGAACUGAGACACGGUCCAAACUCCUACGGGAGGCAGCAGUGAGGAAUAUUGGUCAAUGGGCGAGAGCCUGAACCAGCCAAGUAGCGUGAAGGAUGACUGCCCUAUGGGUUGUAAACUUCUUUUAUAAAGGAAUAAAGUCGGGUAUGGAUACCCGUUUGCAUGUACUUUAUGAAUAAGGAUCGGCUAACUCCGUGCCAGCAGCCGCGGUAAUACGGAGGAUCCGAGCGUUAUCCGGAUUUAUUGGGUUUAAAGGGAGCGUAGAUGGAUGUUUAAGUCAGUUGUGAAAGUUUGCGGCUCAACCGUAAAAUUGCAGUUGAUACUGGAUAUCUUGAGUGCAGUUGAGGCAGGCGGAAUUCGUGGUGUAGCGGUGAAAUGCUUAGAUAUCACGAAGAACUCCGAUUGCGAAGGCAGCCUGCUAAGCUGCAACUGACAUUGAGGCUCGAAAGUGUGGGUAU